GAUGCGGGGCUCGAACUCACGGACCAUGAGAUCAUGACCUGAGCUGAAGUCGGCCGCUUAACCAACUGAGCCACCCAGGCGCCCCAGAGGCUCUGUUCUUAAUGACUAAAUUAUAUGGCCAAAGGAGUGAGAGAUUGAAUGAAUGAACGAACAAAUGAACGAAUGAACGAACGAACAGAAUGAAUGACUUCUCUACCAGUCUGGGAGUUCAUGGAGGGGUAGUGUUGUCUCAGUCCCGUGAGUAUUCCUGGAACAAAGCAGGUGCUUAGAAAUGCUUGCAGAAUUAAAUUACAUCCUGCAGGCACCGAUUCUGACAUUUGGUAGGCCCUUUUACCACAUAAAAUACUUCCCUCCUGUUUUGGCCCAUCGUGACCACAAUUAGUUCUCUUAGCCAAAAAAGCCCUUUGUCCCUUGGCUGAGGUUCAGACCCUGCUGCUUUCAGCCAGACUGGGCAACAAAAAAGAGCUUCAGAAGGAAGGACAACAGUCACUUUCUUUCUGCAGGACUCCUCCCAAGCUGUUUAAGCUUCUCUCCGUGUCCCUUGAUUUUAAACCUUUCUGCUUUCUUUGCUCUGCAGGAUUCCAGCUGACAGCGCCAGAGGUGACUCUGGCUGGGAAGUAUCAGGAGAGUAGGGGUAAAAUUUGGGGGGAAUCCUUCCCCCAGAAAAUACUGAUAUGUCAUGGGCUUUUCCCCCCUGCAUUUUAUGAAAGAUAUUCCAGAGCCAGAUAGUGGAGCAGUGUCAAAGAAAGAGCAAUGUGGUCCCUACAAAACAGCCGUUGUGUAGCAGCAAACUUGUCCAUGGCAGGUUAAGUCUGGAGCCAGAGCCCUGAAAACUCCUUCUAAUACUGUCACACCUGAGCCUCUGCCCUUAAGGUUUUUCAUAUCAGCACAUGUUGAGUGUCAGAAAACUGCAGGUACCAGCUCUGUCACUGAUGAACCAUGCCACACUAGGCAAGUCGCUGAGCUUUUCUGAGCACCAUAUUAUCCAUUACAUCGACAUGCUAAAUCCUGGAAUUCAGAAUGUAAUGAGAAAUAAGCAAGAUAUUUAUUACCUUUGUGAAAUCCUUUCUGAUUUUAAUAGUUCGUCUUUAUACAUGUGAUAGUACCUCAUAGUAUUAUAUACAGACACACCCAGAAAGCAGGUAAAAACUGGUGAGAUCUGAAUAAGAUCUGUAGUAGAAACUGACCAAUGUCAAUUUCUUGCUUUUGAUGAGGCGCUCUGGUAAUCGAAGAUGUUACCAUUGGAAGAAGCUGGGGAGGGAGACAUGGAAAUGCUCGGCAUUAUUUAGCUUUUAUUUUAAGUCUAACGUUAUUUCAAACUAAGAAAUUUUUAGUUCGUUUCUGCUGUUUCCCCCCCUCCCUUUUACACCUUCUGAAUGUUUCCGAUAGAAGUUAGGACUGGGGUAUCUGCUUUUCAGAAGGACUCUGUGCUCCCUGAGGUCACAAUUACUUUCUUCUCUGUUAUUACUCACUUGCCUGGAAUAGAGCCUGGCACAGAGUUCGUGUUCACAAACGUUUACCAGUUCUUUCAGCCCAGAAUAUCAAGAUAAGCAACCUCUCAUUCUAGAAACUGCUGUCUCUGGAAAUGUUUUAAGAAAAUUCAUGUUUAUUGGGAGCCUUUUUGUGACAGGUAUUUUCUACAAAGUUCUCUUAGUUAAUUUCCAUAGCAACCUUAGGAGGUACCAACUCUAAUUCCCAUUUUACAAAUGAGGGAACUGAGUCUCAGAAAGCUCAAUCUACUUGCCCAAGAGGAGAAGCAUGGAGGUAGAUUCAAGCUUUGAGUUCAUCUGGCUCCAAAGUCCCUUUUAUUUCAUUCAUUCAUUCAUUCAUUCAACUUGUGUUUAUGGAGCAUCUGCUAUUGUUGUCAGGGACCAUUCUCAGACCUUAGAAUAUAAUCAGGAACAAAUAGACAAUGAUUGUGGCCUUUGUGUGGCUGACAUUCUAGUGAUGCAAUACUGAUAAUACAGAGUAAACAGAGUAAAACAGAGUAACGACCUGGGUGGACACAAACGAGAAAGAAGAGAAGGGAAAGGAAACGGAGACUGUAGGUCUGGGGGCAAUUCGUAGCACGAGAAAAGAUGUGCAGGGGAGGCCUUGUUGAAAAUACAAGAUUCGAGCAGGGCCGAGUGUGACACAGGAGUGCUGGGGUUACCCAAGCAGAUCUUUGGGAAAAUAACAUUCAGGUAGAGGAACGGCUAAAUGAAAGCCCUCAGGCCAUGGAUAUAGGUCUGGUGUACGUGAGGACAGGCAAGGUGGCUGUUUUGGCUGGGCCAAACACACGUGGGAGGUAGCAGGAAUGCUGAGGGAUGGAGAGUAGAUCAUAGGAGACCAUAAAGAUCGUUGAAGAACUUUGUGGGGACUUUGGUUUUGCUCUGAGAUGGUAGCCACUGCAGGGUUGGAGCAAAGGAGUGACAUAAGUUGACUCAAGCUUCACGGGCUUUCUCCGAUCGCUGUUUAGAGGCCAGGGCUAAAGGGGCCGGGUCGGAAGCAAGGAGACCAGCUGAAAGGCUGUUGCAACAUUCCAAGCUAGACAAGCUAGAUGGUGGCUUCGGCAAAGCCAGGGAGUGGAAGAGUCGCCUUUCUCCCUGCGUGGCCUCUCUCACCAGAUGACAGCCGGCCUCUCACACGUGUUUACAGAACCUCAAGCAAUGGCUUUCUCCUGCACAAGGUGGACUUUCCUUUCCUCCACUCCGCCUGUGUGGCUGAGAUUCUCAUUCCUUCUGCUCCCCCUGCCCCCCUCUGCUACUUCCCACACAACCGCCCUGUGCCUGGCCCUGCACGUCCCGCCCUCUCCCUCUUCUGCCGCCCUCUUUGCGACCCGGGACUUGCUCGCGGUGGCCCCGCGGCUUGCUCUCGCCUGUCGGUCUUGGUUGCUUGCUGUCACCUUCUCAGACACCUGUCUGCCCCGGUGUCCCAUCCGUUGUGAAACAAAAGGCCUGAGUAUGCUAACGGCUGCGUGCAGGCACACGGCACGUCCUCCUUUGGUUCACCCCGAAGCCAGAAGGAUGGCAGACCGACCCCCGGUUUGCACUUCUGCCAGCCGAUGGGAAUCCGAGCCUGGCUUAGGGGAACGUGUGAGCCCCGGGGGCAAACACGUGGAGCACGGCACUGAACACGGGGAAGAGAUAAGGGAUUUUGUUCGUGCAUGGUGAUGUCAGGCGCUCAGAACCCAGGAUCUUGUGUAGUCUUCCCACGGACUCUGGAUAGGUGCUAUCCUUCCUGCUUUCCAGGUGAGGGACUGAAAGAUAAAGUAGCCUGCACCGAGCCUGCCGCCAACUCUGUUAUAGGGGUGCAGGAGAGCAGAGAGCAGAAGGGGAUGUCACAUCUGGAGGCAACGGAGGCCUUUAUUUUCAAAAAAAGGCAAUAAAAGGAAAGGCUUGGUUUCUCAGGUCGGGGCAUGAUUGAGUCAACGAGUCAAACCGGCGAGGUCUUCUGUGCCUCAGCCAGUGCCAGGCCCUAGAGAUGUGGACAUCUAAACCAGAGUUUCCCACAGCCUGUUCUGGGUGCUUCUCUUUGGCCCACGGAGGGAAGGGGUGUGCAACUGCUUUCCCAUGACAGUAAAAUGCAGCUAAGCAGAAAGGACAUGGGGCUCAGGGCUGGAAAAGACAUUUAUGACAACCAGGAAAUGGAAUCCAUUUGGCCCAGUCCAGCUCCACGUGACAAGUUGGGGCAAGAGUUCCAUCUAACGAUAAAAUAACUCCUUUUCGUUGCAUGUGGUUAGGUCUUCCCCGGGCCCCACAAGGUGCAGGGCUCCAGGGCAGGUGGGUUGUGUCUGGGGUGCAGGAGUGCUCCGAGAAGGGUGGUGCCCGGGUAGCUCUGCCUUGUGCACUAACCAUCCAGUUAGAAGACCAUUUACACCUUGUCAGUAUUUUAAAAAACUGGUAAUUCUCUCCCCUCCGGUGCAUUAUUUCCACCUUACCGAAUCUGGAAAGGAGGCCAAAGAAGUUGCCGAAGAAGUUGGCAUUUUCAAAGCCAAGAGCCCUUUUUCUUCUGCUGCAGGAGCCUUCUGGAUGCUGGUGGCAGGGCUUCCUGCCUAAGAGAGAGGGCUUCCUGUCUCCUAAGAGAGACUUCACUGGGGGUGCCAUUCACCUCCCCCUCUCAAUCUUCCCUACAAUCGUGUGUGUGACAGCAAGGACUCAUGUUGACUCCUUAUCCUUUCUGUGAGCCUCAGCCAUUUGAUCAUGACGGUUUUCCUCCUAGUUGUUGAAGAUUCCUUUUCUUCAGGUGUGAGCCUUUUAAGGACGGAGCUUAGCCUGGAACCACGGGGAUAUCCUCAGAUGGACAUACCUGCAGUCUCCAGAGUGGCUUUUCCCCUGGAACGAAUAGCUCACGCUUCACUCUUGGGCAAAGGCUCCUGCUGCUCAUAAACAUAUGACCAUGGCCUACAUGCACACUGCAGGUGGUGGCACAAGCCCAGUUCCUGGUCCUUAACUUCCCUUCUGAAUGUAACUUCAUGUCUCUCCCCCCUCCCCUUGGGAAAGAGGUUAAAAACCAAAAAUAAAGUAGUGUAAUGAGUGCCCUGAA
Herpailurus yagouaroundi (jaguarundi) is the source of this 4524-nucleotide long non-coding RNA. RefSeq lists it as uncharacterized. NCBI's taxonomy places the organism in Eukaryota, Metazoa, Chordata, Mammalia, Carnivora, Felidae. The transcript is spliced from 2 exons. The record is from RefSeq and is a predicted model, not a curated record.